Long non-coding RNA from Oryctolagus cuniculus (rabbit), 439 nucleotides. RefSeq lists it as uncharacterized. The record is from RefSeq and is a predicted model, not a curated record. NCBI's taxonomy places the organism in Eukaryota, Metazoa, Chordata, Mammalia, Lagomorpha, Leporidae.
AUGUCGGCCAGCACUUCCGCGGGGCGGGUCCGGGGGCGGGGCUCCGGGGACGUCCGGCAGGGAACGCCCUCCUCCCGCGCGAGGCUCGGGGCUGGGGCGUGGCGCGCGCGCGUUGCCUCGGUGACCGCGGGGUCCCGCGAGGUGCGGGCGGAGCUGGGGCUGCCGCGGCGGCGAGGCGCGCGCGCUCUCUGCUGUGGCCUGGGAAAGCAGCAGAAGAUGGCUCAAGUCCUUGGGCCCCUGCACCCAUGUGGGAGACAUGGAAGAAGCUCCUGGCUCCUGGCCUCGGAUUGGCCCAGCUCCUGCCAGUGUGGCCAUCUGGGGAGUGAACCAGUGGAUGGAAGACCCCUCUCUCUCUGCCUCCGCCCCCGCCUCUGCCUCUGUAAUUCUGCCUUUCAAAUAAAUAAAUCUAAAAUAAAUAAAUAAAGCCAUAAACACACUC